RNAcentral lists this ribosomal RNA (340 nucleotides) under Microeuraphia rhizophorae. Its description in RNAcentral is "partial 12S ribosomal RNA". The record is from RNAcentral. Lineage: Eukaryota; Metazoa; Arthropoda; Thecostraca; Balanomorpha; Chthamalidae.
UGUUACUUUCGUUAAUAGGUUUUGGAUUAUUAAAAUUUUUGAAAUUUAACGGAUUUGGCGGCAAGAUAGCCCAUUUAGAGGAACCUGCCCUAUAAACGAUGAACCACGAAUAACCUUACUUUUUUUAGUAAACAGUUUGUAUACCGCUGUUGUCAGUCAGUUUUAUUAGAAAACUUUCUUUAAUGAUUUAUUCAUUGACUUCAAGUAAAGGUGCAGCUCAUGAAAAAGUUAGAGGUGGGUUACAAUUCAUGGAGGAAAACGGAUGGUAAAAUGAAAAUUUUUGCUUGAAGGUGGAUUUAAUAGUAAAGUCAUUAUGGACUUGAUAAGAGCACUAACUUGU